AAAAAAAGUUUAAAAAAUAAAGCCGCUAACUUUAACUAUUAUACUAAUUAAGUAUGAAAACUUUU
This 65-nucleotide transfer RNA is filed under the name Hypsibius dujardini. RNAcentral's name for it is "transfer RNA-Ser(GCU)". Lineage: Eukaryota; Metazoa; Tardigrada; Eutardigrada; Parachela; Hypsibiidae. The record is from RNAcentral.